This 279-nucleotide ribosomal RNA is filed under the name uncultured bacterium. Its description in RNAcentral is "partial 16S ribosomal RNA". It matches the Rfam family "Bacterial small subunit ribosomal RNA", at positions 506 to 784 of the family's 1533-position model. The record is from RNAcentral.
UGCCAGCAGCCGCGGUAAGACGGAGGGUGCAAGCGUUGUUCGGAAUCAUUGGGCGUAAAGGGCGCGUAGGCGGCUUGGUAAGUCGGAUGUGAAAGCCCGGGGCUCAACCCCGGAAGUGCAUCCGAAACUACCAAACUUGAGUCCUGGAGAGGGUGGUGGAAUUCCCAGUGUAGAGGUGAAAUUCGUAGAUAUUGGGAGGAACACCGGUGGCGAAGGCGACCACCUGGACAGUGACUGACGCUGAGGCGCGAAAGCGUGGGGAGCAAACAGGAUUAGAUA